CCAAAAAGACACGGCUCUAAGCGGUGGAUCACUCGGUUCUCGGGUCGAUGAAGAACGCAGCCAGCUGCGAUACUUGGUGUGAAUUGCAGGACACACUGAGCACUGAAUCUUUGAACGCACAUUGCGCCCUCGGGUUCGCCCGUGGGUUCGUCUGUCUGAGGGUCGUAUCAUAUAUCAAGUGAGCUG
Molecule: ribosomal RNA, 186 nt
Filed under: Ornithodoros zumpti
Lineage: Eukaryota; Metazoa; Arthropoda; Arachnida; Ixodida; Argasidae
Description: 5.8S ribosomal RNA
Rfam family: 5.8S ribosomal RNA (bases 13-165)
About the family: 5.8S ribosomal RNA (5.8S rRNA) is a component of the large subunit of the eukaryotic ribosome. It is transcribed by RNA polymerase I as part of the 45S precursor that also contains 18S and 28S rRNA.
Source: RNAcentral